UAGGGAAUCUUCGGCAAUGGACGAAAGUCUGACCGAGCAACGCCGCGUGAGUGAAGAAGGUUUUCGGAUCGUAAAACUCUGUUGUUAGAGAAGAACAAGGACGUUAGUAACUGAACGUCCCCUGACGGUAUCUAACCAGAAAGCCACGGCUAACUACGUGCCAGCAGCCGCGGUAAUACGUAGGUGGAAAGCGUUGUCCGGAUUUAUUGGGCGUAAAGCGAGCGCAGGCGGUUUCUUAAGUCUGAUGUGAAAGCCCCCGGCUCAACCGGAGAGGGUCAUUGGAAACUGGGAGACUUGAGUGCAGAAGAGGGGAGUGGAAUUCCAUGUGUAGCGGUGAAAUGCGUAGAUAUAUGGAAGAACACCAGUGGCGAAGGCGGCUCUCUGGUCUGUAACUGACGCUGAGGCUAGAAAGCGUGGGGAGCAAACAGG
RNAcentral lists this ribosomal RNA (429 nucleotides) under Gemmatimonadota bacterium. RNAcentral describes it as "Gemmatimonadetes bacterium partial 16S ribosomal RNA". It matches the Rfam family "Bacterial small subunit ribosomal RNA", at positions 355 to 776 of the family's 1533-position model. The record is from RNAcentral. Lineage: Bacteria; Pseudomonadati; Gemmatimonadota.